RNA transcript from Manis pentadactyla (Chinese pangolin), 5796 nucleotides. It is a transcript of the gene named protein CutA homolog, with no coding region annotated. The transcript has 8 exons. The record is from RefSeq and is a predicted model, not a curated record. NCBI's taxonomy places the organism in Eukaryota, Metazoa, Chordata, Mammalia, Pholidota, Manidae.
CCGCUUUCGGCCGCGACCGCUAGCCUUCCGGACCGCCCCGAUGGCGAUGCGGAUCAAAUGCAACAGACCUAACAAGAGGGAUGAGACGUCAGAUCAAAGCAACAGACCUAACAAAUCAAAGCAAGAGGGAAAAGUGGGGGCCUGAGUUAAGUUGGACAAGAGAGAUUUAAUAGGCAGACCUGAAAAAUGUUAAGUAAAGGCGGGCUGGGCGCGCUCGGGGACCGCAACACCUCCCUAUAUGCUGGCCGUCAGGGCUGGGCCAGCAGUCGCAACCGGCGGCGGGGUCGCAGUGGGGCAUCGUCCUGAGCGCCGCACGGUUGGGCACGCAGUCCGCCUUUCCGGUUGGACUGCGCAUUUCCCAUAAGGAGCUAGACCUCCUCAAGUGUGCCCGGCUAUGGGGUGGUGAGCUUGAGGACCAGCCGAAGGUUAAACGGCCUCGCCGACGGCCUCCUAGCGCUAAAACCGGGCCUGGGCGGCGGCGAGAGCAGCAGCGAUGGAGGCUACUGGCGCUUGGGCAGCCGCUUAGACCACCCCGGGCGGAGCGGAGGCGAUGGGCAUCCGGCCCCCGGGCCGCACACGUAUCAAGAGAAUGUGGAGAGUCAUGUCUUUGGAAACAAAUUUUUGAGAAGUUGGAAGAAGGAGUGACUUUGGCGUCAGUGAGUCCACCGUGCGCACCAUAAAGAAAAACGAGAAGGCCAUCAGGGCCAGCGUGGAGUGUUCGCCCGUCUGCUCCAAGGUGCUGUGCUGCAUACCGCGUGACGUAAACAUGGAGAAGAUGGAAACUGAGUUAACCUUCUGGGUCGAUGACCAGACCGUGGCGGGGUUAUGGGGCGGCCUGUGACUCUGAAGGCCUUUUGCAACCACGCCAAAUGCAUUUACAAGCAACUCGUGGAAACCACUGGGCAGGACAACCCAGAUAAGGCUGCGAGCAAGGGAUGUUUAAGUUUAGAAAUCGCUACAGUCCGCGAAAUUCGAGGUUGAUCGGGAAGGAAGAACCGUUAUGCCCAGUCAUUGCCCAGCCAUUCCAAGCAACUCCACAAACUGAUCAGCGAUAGAGGCUUUGUGCUUCAGCAGGCCUUAAGACACUGAGGAGAUGAGUCUGUUUUGGAGUACAUACCUUCACAUGCUUUUAGGGAAAGUCACAAAAAUCUGGAAAGCUUAAAGUACGCUGAGGACAGGAUUUCCCUCAUUUUUGUGCUAUUGCUGCUGGUGACAAAAUGGUAGUCAUUGCUGCUUUAUAAAGACACGAAUCCCAGUUGCCUUUUGGAAAAAGAUAAAAAAUGUCCUCCUGUUUUUUGGUAAUCACACCCUAGAGUAUCAUCAACCACUGCCCUCUUUUUAGAUUGGUUUCAUAAUUGUUUUAUCCAUAAAGCCAGGAGUUUAACAAAAAAAAUCUUGAAUUCAGAGUGCUGCUAAUUUUGGACAGAGGUCCUGAUCACCCAGACUCAUUAUUCUUUGCUCAUCCUAAUGUUGAUACUGUGUUUCUCCCCUGGGAAGAUUCUAGGUACCUUCAGCCCUUGGAUCAGAGUAUAAUUGAAGCAUUCGGGAGGUAUUAAACGGAGCACGCAUUUGACCACUUUGCUUACUCUAUUGAAAAAAACUUUUGCCUUAACUUUGAAAGAAACGUGGUCACAAUACAACAUUGGCCUUGCUUUAGUGACAAAAGAGGCAUGGAUGAUGUAAAACCAGGCACUCUUACUUAAUAAAGCAUGGUGGAAACUUUGGGUUGAUGUGAAUGAUUAUACAUGUUUCCCUAGAGCUAAUGAAGAGGUUGAAAAAACAGUCUGCAAAACGGAUGGGCUUUAAAUUCAGUGAUAUUCAUGAAAGUGAAAUUAAUGAGCUACUCAGGUUUCAGGCUUUGGCCAUAACUGAGAGUCUCUAUGGAGUCUGAGGGAGAAGACAAGUCCCCCAAACCAGAGGUAAACAUGAAUCUAAGGAAAUUCAAUGCUGUCUUCCACCAGGCUUCAGACCUCCUUGAUGCUGGAUCCUUUUGAUGUGGAUCCUUUCUAGGACUAAAGUUUGGCCUUUAAAAAAGAUUUCAAUAAGUUGUUGUAAACCUAUAAAGAGGUGCAAAUGAAACUUUGAAAUAAAGCAAAGGAGUUGAAGAAAAAGAAGGAAAACACAAUUAAGAGGAAGUAGUGUUGGUUAAGGGGUUGGAUCAGAAUCAAGAGUCAGUCUGAAUCUGAAUCCAGGUGAGAAGGUAGAGAGAAAGAAUAACAAGCCUCUAGAAGAGGCUGGACCCUCAGGUAGUGGCACUGAGACUCUAAUUAUAUCUGAAGAAUAUGCCAAAACCAUAAAUGCAGAAUUGGACUUUUGGAACCUAAUCCUGGAAUUGAAUCUGGAGAGAGUAGAGAGGUGCCUGAGUUGAAUGAAGAAGAGAAUCCAGUGGCAAUUUCUGACAAAUAAUCAUCUCUUAAAAAAAAGAAAAUCAUCUCUUGCCAUAUGUCCCUGUUGCCCCAACAUCACCUUCAACCUGACCACCCUUGAAAUCACCAGCCAUGUGUCUGUCAGUUAGUCAUUUAACAAACACUGAGCAUAAGCUGUGUGGAAUCCUGUGCUAAGCCUGGGGACAUCUCAGGAAAUCAUCUAAGUAUCUAAGGACAAUACUGGAUAAGAAGCUGGCUGCCUCGGUGAACAUUCUGCCCAAAGCAUCCUCACUGUACUUUUGGAAUGGAGAAAUAGAAGAAGCCACUGAGAUCCUGCUGUUAAUAAAGACAAAGAGUUCCAAGGUCCACAUGCUGUCCAACUACAUCAGAUGAAACCUGAGAUCAGAGAGCAUAAGACACUUAAUAUAAGUGGCAGAGCUAGGCUCUGAACCCAAGUCUCUGAUUCUAAGUAUGAUACUCCUGCUGUCUCUUCCAGAGAGGUUGGAUAUACACCUUUGUAGGCCAAAGACCCAGAGAACUUGCUGUAGCCAGCUCUUAGAGGAAGAGUUAUUAGUUCCUAAAACAUCUAUGUGGUAAGUUAAUAUGGUCCUUAAAAAUAUACUACAUUGUUUACUUCUCCCCAAAGAUGCGGAGGUUGGUGACUGACUGUCUUCAUUCUACAGAUCAGAGAACAGAAUUAGUGCAGAGGGCUACCCAGGCUGCCUGCUGGUCCACCUAGGGCUCCGAGGGCUGCACCUCCCGAGGCUCAGAGGUGCCAUUCUCGGCGAGCACCAGGCCCUUGUCAGGCAGCAGCUUUCCUGGUGGGUUGGGCGGGACACGGAUGCGCAGGCGGAAGAUGCACUUCUUCUUCUUGAUCUCCUUGCCACAGAGGAACCUGCAGGGUGAACCGGGGAAGGAGAAAGCUCUGGAGUUUGUCGGUCCACAUUACCCUCUCUGCCUCCCUGGACUGGGAGUUAAAAUCCAGAGUAGCUCAUGGAGACACCCAUUCCUCAAAGCCUGUGGGCUCAGGGGUCCCAGGUAGUGGCUGGAAUGUGGCUGGUGAGUCCUCCCUGUCCUUCUUCAUGUAUGUGUGAAGUGCCUGCUGCUGUUCUCCUUCAAACUGGCAGCUCCCGGUGGAACUCCUAUGGUCAACACUAGAUUCUACACCAUUCUGUUCUCUGGUCUCCCCAAGGAGACAGAAGCACCUUCAGGCACCUCCCUCACCCUUCUAACACUGGCUGAGCAGCCAUGAGCCUGGAGAGGUGACUCAGGAGACUCCACGAGGAGGGUAGGAGACCCUAUGUGCUCAAGUGUAGGGCUGUACCUGGAAGGCGGAAGAGAGUGGAUAAUUCUGUCCAGAUAUCUGGAGAGGUUUUGCAAAAGUAGGGACCAUGUCUUAUUCCUCACUGUGUCUUCAGUUCCCACAUAGGGCUGACACAGAGCAGCAUUUCAGUGAGUAGUUGUGCAUGGAACAAGUAAAAGAAAGGGGUUGAAGAGCAUCAUGGGCAAAGGGCAGAGUGUGAGCAAAAGCGCUGAGUGGGAAAGCAAAGGGUUCAGAAUGGCUGACACCCAGAACAAAUAAGCAAAGGGACAGUACCAGAAGGGUGAGCAGGGUCUGAUCAUGAGGCCUUAAAUGCCAUGCUAAGAAGCCUGGGCAUUCCCUUGGUAGUAGGCUAUGUGUCAGGCUUGUGUUCUCAGAAAAACUCAGAAGUCUGGAUGGGAAGGUGUGGGCUGGAGAUGAAUUAAGAGGCUGCUGCCCACCACAGAGAAGAUGCACCGAUUCCUCAGUGCCUACCCCAGAACCACUGGUGGCUGUAACAGGGCUUAGGGAUUGGAGUGCAUGCCCCAAGGGAGCUGAACCCAGCACCAAAAUGUGUCAGGCUGCUGGAGUGGUCAGGGGAGAUGUCACAAAGGAGGUGAGGUACUCCCUGGAUCUUGAAGAACGGGCAGGAUUUAUCUAGUCAGAGGGAAGGGGUGGGAGACCCUGGCGGGAAAACAGCAUGUGCAAAGGCUGUGAAGUAGGAAGAUACUAAACCAAAGCCCCACCUGUUAGGGACCCAGUGGUACUCCCCCACUCCUUUGCACGCACCGGCUUUUGUAACUGUUCAGAGCGUUGAGUAGAUGAGGUCCUCGAUCCGUCACAGGGGUGCUGGUGAGCUAAGGGGGAGCGGGCCAGCAAGCCAGUCAGACCACGCACAUGGUGCCUGAGGAGGCCUCAGCCCCCAUCCCCUUCCUCCCCGGAAUGUCCUGAUGCUUCUGGGUCCUCCAGGUCAGGACCACUUGUUCCAUGAUCUCAGACAAAUCUUUCCACCUCUCUGAGUGCACUUCCCCAUCUGUAAAUGGGGAGGAUAGCUCCUGUCCUAAAUGUAUCAAGAGCUUUGAAAAUGUCCAUGUCCUCAACCCAGUAAUGCUAGUCCAUGGAAUCUAUCAUGCAGACAUAAGAAACAUGAGUAAAGCUGUACACACAAAAAUGUUCACUAUAGCAUUGUUCCUAAAGAUUGGCAAAUAAGAAAAAUGGGAAAGAAACUAUGUGCCCAGCAGGAAGGCAACAAACAAUGGUGGAAACCAGUGCGACCAUUAAAAAUGUUGAUGAAAACUCGUAACAUGGAAAAGGUUUUAUGCUCUAACAUAAAGUAAAAAAAAAAAGAUUUGAAGCUUUAUAUACUGUAUAAUCUAAGCCAUGUAAAAAGAAAAAAUAGACAUUGAAGACAGGAGGGAAGGAUAUGCACCUACACAAUAGCAGCUGUUUCAGGAUGACGUAAUGUGGGGUAGAGAUUUUUUUUAAGUAUACUUACUUACACUUUCAUACUUUAAAAUUUUUCUACCAGGAACAUGGAUUUUUUAAAAAUAAAUUUUAAAAAUGUUAUUUAAAAAGUACUAGCUCUAUCUUUUUAGAGCGUUGUAAUAUACACAUGUCUUUUAUAAGUUACUGAACACUGUAAAUGAAGAUGUUAUCACAUGAAAAACUUUGUAAGGCAUAAAGGUUACUUUAAAAAAAAUCCUGUCUUCAUUAAGGUUUGGGGUAGUGAGAGAAGAUGCCUCAUUCUGGAUGUGGUAGAGAGGAUUCUAAGGAUGUCAUUAGGGCAAAAAGCCUCUGUGGAAGUACUUGGGGAGGCCAUCUACAGUCCCAGCUCAAAAGCUGUGCUGACCACCAGCAAGUCACUCUCCCCUUCUGGCAUCCUGAAAGUGUCUGGUUUGUUACUUCAUUCCUUGGAUCCCAGACUUCCCCAGUCUUGUGAUGGCCACUUCUGCUAUUCAAAGUACAACCAGCAAGGGGCAGGCCCACUUCACGUUUCAUUCCAGCCAGGAAAUUGGGAGUGGCUGCAGGAGCUCCCAGUGAUGGUUGACAAAAGCCAGAAUCUCCUCAAAGUCAAAGUACUUCUUCUUGCUCUGCACCCCCAGGUUGUAGAGAGCCAGGUGAACCACAUCC